GGGUUGUGAGGUUAAGCGACUAAGCGUACACGGUGGAUGCCCUGGCAGUCAGAGGCGAUGAAGGACGUGCUAAUCUGCGAUAAGCGUCGGUAAGGUGAUAUGAACCGUUAUAACCGGCGAUUUCCGAAUGGGGAAACCCAGUGUGUUUCGACACACUAUCAUUAACUGAAUCCAUAGGUUAAUGAGGCGAACCGGGGGAACUGAAACAUCUAAGUACCCCGAGGAAAAGAAAUCAACCGAGAUUCCCCCAGUAGCGGCGAGCGAACGGGGAGGAGCCCAGAGCCUGAAUCAGUGUGUGUGUUAGUGGAAGCGUCUGGAAAGGCGCGCGAUACAGGGUGACAGCCCCGUACACAAAAAUGCACAUGCUGUGAGCUCGAUGAGUAGGGCGGGACACGUGGUAUCCUGUCUGAAUAUGGGGGGACCAUCCUCCAAGGCUAAAUACUCCUGACUGACCGAUAGUGAACCAGUACCGUGAGGGAAAGGCGAAAAGAACCCCGGCGAGGGGAGUGAAAAAGAACCUGAAACCGUGUACGUACAAGCAGUGGGAGCACAGAGCAAUC
Molecule: ribosomal RNA, 560 nt
Filed under: Escherichia coli
Lineage: Bacteria; Pseudomonadati; Pseudomonadota; Gammaproteobacteria; Enterobacterales; Enterobacteriaceae
Description: partial 23S ribosomal RNA
Rfam family: Bacterial large subunit ribosomal RNA
Source: RNAcentral